GUGACAAGAUAUUGCUUAUACUGGGAAUGACCUUUUAAAUAUGACUAGCUGAUGAUGAGCAGAGCAAUGGACAGAAUGAUGGAGAAACUUUUUAAUACAAUCAAGGGUUUAGGCAGAAUCACGAUGGCUUAUAUUGUAAGGUUCUUCUUGUGAAUGUUUUGGAUAAGUUUGAUUUAUUCUACGAUGCUAUAAGGUGGCAUAAUCCUCAUGCGGAAUUCCAUUCUAAGGCCAUUAUUUCACAACCAAAGGCUCUUAAAAUAAAAAUGAGAUGUCCUGUUUGGGGGCUUUUAUUGAAUCCUUUGUCGGUUUGCAAGGACAACCUAGAAGAGUAUGUUUCUUGAGGAGAAAACAAGGCAUCUUGGGAUAAGUUCGUUCUGUUUUUUUCUCAAACUGGGACAGACCGAAUGCAGGAGAAACAAUAUUUCCUAUUCAAUGAAGUGUGUGUAGAAUCGAGAAGGCCUAAUGUGGGGAAGCAAUUAUGGGUGAAUUAUUGGAUUGCUCUGUCUUAUUCUUGGUUCUAUGAAGUGGCAAAUAAUUAUGCCUGCUUUGACCAUUAUUUCACACUCUAAUGCCUCCUCUAAGUACAAAUUUGAUAUCUUGUUGUGGACAUUUUUAUUGAAGUUACUGAAGGCAUCAAUCUAGAAGCGUUUUGAGCUGCUGUAAAUGCGAUCAAGGAGGGAUGUUGGUGAAGCUAAACAUACAAAACUCUGGAGGCAUCAAAUUCUGUCUAAAGAAGAUGAUUGAAUGUAUUAAGGCUUGUACAAACUUGUAGCAGUUCCAUUCAACACUUUGAUAUAUUCUUUCUUGUUACGAACUCAUUGGCCCCAGUGUUAUGUGCUUGCUAAUUACACGGAUUAUAUAUUUCACCUUUCUUUUCCAUUCUCCUUAAAAGCUCAUUGUAAAUUCAGGCACUCAAGCUAUGAUGCAAUCUUGCCCCC
Molecule: long non-coding RNA, 938 nt
Organism: Pistacia vera
Lineage: Eukaryota; Viridiplantae; Streptophyta; Magnoliopsida; Sapindales; Anacardiaceae
Exons: 6
Source: RefSeq, a predicted model, not a curated record